GACAGAGGGUGCAAACGUUGCUCGGAAUCACUGGGCGUAAAGGGCGCGUAGGCGGGAAUGUAAGUCGGGCGUGAAAUCCCCAGGCUCAACCUGGGAACUGCACUCGAAACUGCGUUUCUUGAGUAUCGGAGAGGAAAGCGGAAUUCCUGGUGUAGAGGUGAAAUUCGUAGAUAUCAGGAGGAACACCAGUGGCGAAGGCGGCUUUCUGGACGGUAACUGACGCUGAGGCGCGAAAGCGUGGGGAGCAAACGGG
Molecule: ribosomal RNA, 253 nt
Filed under: uncultured bacterium
Lineage: Bacteria
Description: partial 16S ribosomal RNA
Rfam family: Bacterial small subunit ribosomal RNA
Source: RNAcentral